This 264-nucleotide ribosomal RNA is filed under the name uncultured archaeon. RNAcentral describes it as "partial 16S ribosomal RNA". It matches the Rfam family "Archaeal small subunit ribosomal RNA", at positions 719 to 982 of the family's 1478-position model. The record is from RNAcentral.
ACAGUCACACAUUAGAUACCCGCGUAGUCCCAGCCCUAGACGAUGCGCGUUAGGUGUAUCGGUGACCACGAGUCACCGAGGCGCCGAAGGGAAACCGUGAAACGUGCCGCCUGGGAAGUACGGUCGCAAGGCUGAAACUUAAAGGAAUUGGCGGGGAGCACCACAACGGGUGGAGCCUGCGGUUUAAUUGGACUCAACGCCGGGAAGCUCACCGGAUAAGACAGCGGAAUGAUUGCCGGGCUGAAGACCCUGCAUGACCAGCUG